Molecule: ribosomal RNA, 219 nt
Filed under: uncultured bacterium
Lineage: Bacteria
Description: partial 16S ribosomal RNA
Rfam family: Bacterial small subunit ribosomal RNA
Source: RNAcentral
CGGCACGGGUGCGUAACGCGUGGGAAUCUGCCCUUGGGUUCGGAAUAACAGUUAGAAAUGACUGCUAAUACCGGAUGAUGACUUCGGUCCAAAGAUUUAUCGCCCAGGGAUGAGCCCGCGUAGGAUUAGCUUGUUGGUGAGGUAAGAGCUCACCAAGGCGACGAUCCUUAGCUGGUCUGAGAGGAUGAUCAGCCACACUGGGACUGAGACACGGCCCAG